This 472-nucleotide ribosomal RNA is filed under the name uncultured bacterium. RNAcentral describes it as "bacterial SSU rRNA". It matches the Rfam family "Bacterial small subunit ribosomal RNA", at positions 8 to 526 of the family's 1533-position model. The record is from RNAcentral.
AGAGUUUGAUCAUGGCUCAGAACGAACGCUGGCGGCAUGCCUAACACAUGCAAGUCGAACGAGACCUUCGGGUCUAGUGGCGCACGGGUGCGUAACGCGUGGGAAUCUGCCCUUGGGUUCGGGAUAACAGUUGGAAACGACUGCUAAUACCGGAUGAUGACUUCGGUCCAAAGAUUUAUCGCCCAGGGAUGAGCCCGCGUAGGAUUAGCUAGUUGGUGAGGUAAAGGCUCACCAAGGCGACGAUCCUUAGCUGGUCUGAGAGGAUGAUCAGCCACACUGGGACUGAGACACGGCCCAGACUCCUACGGGAGGCAGCAGUGGGGAAUAUUGGACAAUGGGCGAAAGCCUGAUCCAGCAAUGCCGCGUGAGUGAUGAAGGCCUUAGGGUUGUAAAGCUCUUUUACCCGGGAUGAUAAUGACAGUACCGGGAGAAUAAGCCCCGGCUAACUCCGUGCCAGCAGCCGCGGUAAUAC